UUUCCCUACCAUCUCUCUCUCCUCCCCCCCACCCCCCCCUCUCUCUCUCUCUCUCUCUCUCUCUCUGAGAAGAAGAAGAAGAAAUCGAUCACUUUUCCCCCCAAUACCUUCUCGUACGCCGGCACCGAUCCCCGUGCGAUCGUCGGAAUCGAUCCAGGGAGCUGUACAGAACCUAAUACUCGUUUCCAGGAUAUUUUAGCGCUCUAACAAUCUGUUUUUUCAUUCUUUGAGUUGGCGUUGCUGGCUUCUUCUGUAACGGACUUAGCUGACCUGUAGUAGAUGUAUGGAAUCUGGAUUAGUUGAUGUGUUGUAGGAGGAUAAGGUAGUUGGUGGUGUGACAUAUGAUUCAAGGAGCCCAACAUUUUUAGUUGAUAAGAUUCCUUGUACGUUCAAUUUCUGGGAAUGAGUCUGGAGAAUGAAGACCGGUUAUUGCUUGAAAGAAAAACUGGAUCUCAAAAGAAGUCUAAGAUAUUAUAUGCAAGAGACGAACUUUUGUCUUUUAGCAACUUGGAUAUUUGCAAAAAAUUGCCCAGAGGAAUCGAUGCUUCGAUUUUGAGUGAAUUGGAUGAAGCAUCGGUCAUUGAGAGGCAAAGAAGUUUUGGAGGCUUAACUUUCCAGAGCACAAAGCGGAGUGAUUAUGGAUCAUCACCGCCGAAUAGGUUAGAAGGUGCAAGUAGUUAUUUUCGAGGAAGCUCUGGAAGGUGGGAUGCACGGUCUUCUGGAUCGGACACUAGAGAUGGAGACCUCCCAUCUAAUCGUGAAGCAUCCAUGCAAGAUUCUGGUAGGCGUUACGGACAGCAACAGCAAUCUCGACAUUUAUCUCAAAAUCUUGAGCAUGAUGGACUUCUGGGAAGUGGUGCAUUUCCAAGACCUUCAGGUUAUGCUGGAUCCUCGGGACAAAAAGCUAGGGCAACCAGCCAGUUUCAGCUUAAUAGGACUUCUGAACCUUAUCAGCCCCCACGACCUUAUAAGGCUUUACCUUUUCAACGGAAGGAUGAUAAAGAUUCAUGUAAUGAUGAAACAUUUGGUUCGACUAAUUAUUCAAGCGAGGACAGAGCGGAAGAAGAACGGAGAAGAAGAGCAUCCUUCGAGUUGAUGAGAAAGGAACAACAGAAAGCACUGCAAGAGAAGCCAAAACAGAUUCCUGAUAAUCACAAAGAAAAUCUUGAUGCUGAUAUUAUUGCAUUACUUCAGAACUCGGUUGAUAGGAACAGUAAAAUGAGUAAAACUGACAUGCCGGAUGAUUCUUCACUGCCACAAAACGAUUCUUCCAGGGUUUCUUCUACUAUGAAUGCUCCCCUACCUCGGCCACUUGUACCACCUGGUUUUUCCAGCACAGCAUUAGACAAAAACCUUCCUGUUCAGUCUUCAAGCACUCAGUUUGCGUCAGAGGGUAGCUUUUCUGGUAGUCUGGAUGACCUUCCUCCAGAUGGCACCGAUAAUGAUCCCGAGAAAAGGCACCAAUCAGCUGUAUGCCUGGACAACAACAUGCUAAAAACUGGCUCCAUGUCUGAUCUUGUUGUGAAUGUCGAUGAAAAGCUUGCAAUUCCAUCAUCGGCUCUCAAAGUUAAGCUCCCAAUGGAUGCUGAAAACAUAUCCUGUUCAACCUCCGGUUCUCCAAAAGUGAAUAAGAUUUGGGAAGAAGUCAUAGAGAAUGAUGUUUCCAACACUAAAGAAGAGAAGUUUGAGGUUACAAACCCACUUAUGCAGGAUAGUUCAGUGUCAAUUCUGGAAAAGUUGCUUGGUGGUUCUGUGAUAAAAACUUCUGGUGGUUCACCAACUUCCUCUGCGAAUCAGGGUUUUAAAACGGAUGAAGAACCAUGGGUUCCUGCAAUUUCCGAAUCUUCCAAAUUUGCUAGUUGGUUUCUUGAAGAAGAAAACAAGCAUGUAGAAGACUUUUCAUCAAAGGACUUGCUCUCUUUAAUUGUGAACAACGAGAAAGUUAACUCAUCAUCUUCCAUAAUUUCUUGUGACAAGGCAAUUGAGCAUAUGGCACCAAGCUUACCUAUAAAAAUUAGUGAUACCACAGAGAAACUUGAUGCAUCCUCCGCAACUUCUUUGAUGGUUGGGAUCCCUGAGCAGUAUCAUCAAGGUGUUAAGCCAGAUUUAAGUCCUGCUGUGCUGACAUGUGAGGACCUUGAGCAGUCCUUCAUGGCCAACAUUACAGGUCGUUCAAGUCCACAGCAUGCUGUUCAAGGACCUCGGAAGACUACAGAUGGAAAAAUGGAACAGAAACUGGAUAUUGAUGAUCAUGCAUCACAACAUCUUCUUUCUCUAUUACAGAAGGGGACAAAGAAAGAGAAGGCAGCAUCAGUAACACCUGAUGGUCUAGAUGCUGAAUUCUUUGACAAAUUUUCCAUAACUGAUGCUAAUUCUGGUUUCAAACUUCGGAUUGCUGAGAAGGCUACUUCUUGCAACUCUGAACCAGCACCCAGCUCAGAGAAGACCCUGACACUCGAAACAUUAUUUGGGGCAGCAUUUAUGAAUGAGCUCCAAUCGGCUCAAGCUCCUGUCUCUGUGCAGAGAGUUACAGAUGGUGGGAUUAACACUACAGAAGUUCCAACAUCACUUAGAUUGCCAUUUCAAAAUUCUGAUGCUGGUUUCUUUCCUUCUAGUUCUGGUGACUAUAAACAGAACAAACCUGCUCAUGAGAUGGACAUGGUAUCUACAAACCAAAUUCAAGAUGCAAAUGUUCAUCACACUAUGGGUCCUUCCAAAGAGCAUGAAAACUCUCUUAUUGAGGACUCAAAACAUGUUGCUUCUGGUUUUGAAGAAAGAGCUUUGCAAAUUCACUUGCCUGAUGAGGAUAAUCUGAUUACUACUAGUGAUUCUUUGGACUCUGUAGCUUCUGGCCCUUCACCCUUUCCAAAUGCUACUAGAAGUGAGGAGCUAUUAUCUGAAAACAGUGUGGAACAUCUCAAUUACAAAUUGCUUAAUGCUAUUACAAGAGAUGCAGAACGAAUUCCAUCGUCUAGUCUGGAUGGCUUACCUCCUUUUCGCACCCCACAUGACCUGGUUGGUUCUGAUAGUUUUUAUCAUCAUUUACAGGGAAGAACAUCUCCUCAGUUACCUCAUAUCAUCAAUCAUGCUAGGCCUCUGCACCCGGGGCUGGAUCAUCUCACAAAUAGGAAUCAGCAGAUGAAGUUUAUUGGUCCUGAAGGCAUCCAUCAUGAUCCUCGUCGAAAUUUACUUGAAAACGUUGUUCCACUUAAUACUUCCAAUUAUGCUAGUGGCCCACACGUUGAACCUCCUGACUAUCAUUUGAUGUUACAGCAAAUGCCAAUUCCAGGAAGCUACCCACAACAGUUACCUCUUCCAGGUUUUCCAAGAGGUGUACCAUUACCUCAUCACCUAAAUCACAUGCAAGGGUACAUACCUGAGAUGAACAAUGUACACAAUAUUUCGUUACAUCAGCAGCACCCAACUUAUGGCAGCCUUGGAAUGGGAAUGCCAGGAUCUCUCAUUGGAGGUGGUGGAGGCAAUCAUCCGGAAGCAUUACAAAGGCUGAUUGAUAUGGAGCUGAGAGCUAAUGCAAAGCAGGUGCACCCUGCAUCAGCUGGUCACAUUCCUGGUAUAUAUGGUCCAGAAUUCGACAGGAGCUUCCGGUACAGAUGACUCUAAAAGACCUCUGAUUUCAUCUGAUCAGAAGGUUGUGGAAUACCUGACCUUUUAUAGUUUGGAGAAGGAAGAAAAAGAAAAAGAAGACGGAAACGGUCCCAAGGGAAUGAUAGAAGAUUGAUGGUGAUCCAAAUGAGAGGGACUCGCACGUGUAUAGACAAGCCUGAGUUCUUUUCUGUUGUCAAUAUUCCCAUCCAAAUGGAACAAACAUUAAGCUUCUUCUCUUAGCACUUGUCUAAUUAUGUCAUUUGGAGAAAGUUAUGGAAACACCUCAGUACAAGAACAUGGUAGGGUUUGCAUGAUAUGAUGCUGCUGUCCUAAACCUCUUCUGGAGAUAUUACUUGCUGAUCUCUAUGUAUUCUACGCGUACCUGUUUUAUCUUACUAUAUUUCGUUGUCUGUAUCAUGCUUGGACGCCUUCUCUCUACAUCCUGGUAUCUGGCUUGGAAUGCUGAUAGUAAUUCCCAACAGUUUGAUGGGUAAUAUGUUUAAGCUGAUAGUACUUGUCAUUUUCA
This is an RNA transcript of Musa acuminata AAA Group (dessert banana), 4132 nucleotides long. RefSeq lists it as uncharacterized. The transcript is spliced from 12 exons. Lineage: Eukaryota; Viridiplantae; Streptophyta; Magnoliopsida; Zingiberales; Musaceae. The record is from RefSeq and is a predicted model, not a curated record.